Molecule: long non-coding RNA, 3430 nt
Filed under: Sus scrofa (pig)
Lineage: Eukaryota; Metazoa; Chordata; Mammalia; Artiodactyla; Suidae
Description: lncRNA (ENSSSCG00045021020.1)
Source: RNAcentral
GGUCUGCGCCGGGGCCUGGGCCUGGAGUCCGGUGUGGUCGGGCGUUCGACUCGCGCGACUCCCCGCCCGAGGGCCCACCGGGCUCCGGCUGGAAGCCGCCCAGGGUGCGGCAGCGAAACUUUGGCCCGGUUGCAACCACAGUGGCGUUUAGGCCGGACGCUCUUGCUCCCGUUUCACGGAGCGGUCGAAAUCCGUAGACGUUUCUAAUGCGUUCUACCGGUAGCCCAGCCCUCUUCGUCCUCAGCCUCUAUUCGUGCUCACUUUUCUCCCAGGCAGGUAGCUCCAGGGGCCUCCUGUCUCUCUCCUCCCCACCCUAUCCCGUUUUCCCUUGAGCAUCCCCUGCUGCUUGCCAGGUGUGCCUUUAGUGAGAACCCGAUCUUUCCAGCACUUUUUUUCCUGCUGGUGAAGACAAACCCACAUGCUUUUAGUUUUCAGGGUUUUGUUAUCGAUCAGUUUCAUCCAUAGGUAGUGCUUACAUAGCACGUGCUACGUGCCAGCCAUGAUGUUUAGUGGGUUUAUGUGCAUUAAUUCACCCAGUCUUUGGAACAGCUCUAAACUUAAUCUUAUUAUACUAUCACUAAUUUGCAAAUCAGAAAACUGAGAUCUGAGGCAAAUUAAGUAAAUUGACUAAAGUUAUACAGACAACACACUGCCUGAUCAUGAACUGAAUUAUCUUUAAAAUUAUUAUUGGUACAUAAUCAAAGCAAAGUAUCACAAAGUUUCAUAAUUAUUCAAUAGAACGUAACACUUCUGGGGAAAUGCAUCUCGCUGAAAUGGAUAUUGUUGCUUUUUAAAAUUCAUAAAUCUGUGAAUGAUUAUAUCUUAUUGCUGGGACGGGAAGGAUUGAGCAUCAAUACCACUCUUAAGUUUUAGUUUUUAUAACUGUAUGGCCUUAGAAACGGUGUAUAAACAAGUACUAUACCUGGUAAUCCUAAUCCUACUGUAGCAACGUUGUAACUGAGCAGGGUCCUGUGAGGCUCCUGGGCACACAAGCCUUUCUGUGUCCUUCAUUUCCCGUUUUUAAGGAAUAAGCUUCAGGGAAGGUCUUGGAGGCUGAGGCUUAGUCCCUAAAAACAAGAAAUGAAGGACACAGAGAGUCUUGUUUGCCCGCGAUCUUCACAGGGCACUAGCUCGGUUACAUGCUUAAUAUUGUUAUUUAGUGUUUGUCAAAAUAUUUAAAGUAUUGAUUAUCCUGUUAUAAGAUAGUAUAUGGCUCCUGUAAAAUGUGUUUUAAUUAUUUUCACAGAAAACUGAAGAAAAAAAUUAAAAAUCAAUUACUAUGCCUUCACCCAGAGAUAACGACCAGUAACAACUGGGGUUUAUUUCCUUCCAGUCUUUUUUCUUUUCUUUUUUUUUUGUCUUUUUGCUAUUUUUUUGGGCCACUUCCAUGGCAUAUGGAGGUUCCCAGGCUAGGCGUCUAAUCGGAGCUGUAGCCGCAGGCCUCCGCCACAGCCACAGCAACGCAAGAUCCGAGCCGAGUCUGCGACCUACACCACAGCUCACAGCAACGCCGGAACUUUAACCCACUGCGUAAGGCCAAGGAUCGAACCCGCAACCUCAUGGUUCCUGGUCGGAUUCGUCAACCCCUGCGCCACGACGGGAACUCCAUUUUCCAGUCUUUUUUCCACUCAAGUCAACAGGAAUGACAUGUAUUUUAAAGAGACAGGAUUCUAUCAUAGAAGCACAUCGGAAUCCUGACUUUUAUGCUUAAUAUUCUCUUUGUUAGCAUUUCUCAUGGCACUCAAUAGUCUUUAAGAUACAAUAAGUUCAUUUUUAUCACAUUUUAAACUCCACAUAUAAGUGAUAUCAUGACAUUUGUCUUUAUCUGACUUAUUUCACUUACUAGGAUGAUCUCUAAGUCCUUCCAUGUUGCUGCAAAUAGCAUUAUCUUUUUAUGGCGAAUAUCCCAUUUGUGUGUGUAUGUAUAUAUACAUACAUAUAUCUUACGUUCUUAUUCAUUCAUAUGUUGAUGGACAUUUAGGUUGCUUCCAUGUUUUGAUGAUUGUAAAUAAUGUUGCAAUGAACGUAGGGGUCCAUGUAUCUUUUUGAAUUAGAGCGUUCUCUGGAUAUAUGCCCAGGAGUGGGAUUGCUGGAUCAUAAGGUAGCUUUAUUUUUAGUUUUUUAAGGGACUUCCAUACUGGUCUCCACAGUGGCUACAUCAAUUUACAUUUACGCCAACAGUGUAAGAGGGUUCCUUUUCUCCACACCUUUCCAGCAUUUAUUAUUUGUAGACUUUUUGAUAAUGGCCAUUCUGACUGGUGUGAGGUAAAAACUUCAUUAUAAUUUUGAUUUUGAAGUUUAAAUAUGACUUUUAAUGAGUGCAUGGUGCUCUAGUCUGUGCUGUAUCAUAGUUUGUUUAACCACUUGUGGAACUUAUUGCAUGAAAUUCCCUGUUUUUGAUUUAAAAGCAGAUGAGUGAGACAUUUUAUACCUCCCAAAGGGGAGGGGGGAAAUCAACAAUUCUAAAUGAGUUGCUUUUGUUCAAAGCUCUCAAUUGCUUUCUCCUUCUGUGGGUCAGAGACUCUCACAAGGGAGAAAAGCAUGUCUCUGUACCCUGAUCAUGUUGAUUUAAUUACCGUCUUUGUCUAGAGAUUUCCUUUGUUCUCCUGUAUCCACACCAGUGGAGAAUCCACUUCAUUCUGUGCCUUUCCCCCCUGCCACCAAUGUCGUCUUAAAAUCCAAUUGCUUGCUCCUGUUGCCUGCCUUGUGGGGACCCAACCCCCACCCCUCCCUGCACUGGUUUUGCUCAAAAUCCUCCCGAAGCAGAAAAGGUACCUGCUGGGCACUUGCUCAGCAUUGCCAGAGAGGACAAAGAAAACCUUGUUCAUUGUUUGAAGCUGGCACUUUACAGUUUACCAAUCCUUAUCUGCCCUGGGAAAGGUAGAGAGAAAAUGUUUCUGAGUUCCUAGGUGACUGACUCACAGUGUUGGAAUCGCAAAUCAGACCUGGUGCUGGGAAUUGUUUUCAGUUGCAAGGAUGAGAUGGUACAUGUACCACAGACUUUGAUGGCAAAGAGACCUCUGCCGGAAUCACCUUUGCCCUAACUUGUGGAAUGCUAGGUAGAUAAUUCAUGGAAACCACCUGUGCCUCAAUUUCCUCAUCUGUAUCUCAGGAAUAAUCCUAGGUCCUGACUCAUAGGCUUGGGCAAGGAUUUAAAAAGACAUAAUGCAGAGUUCCUGUUGUGGCUCAGGGGAAACGAAUCCAACUAGUAAGCAUGAGGUGGUGGGUUUGAUGCCUGGCCUCGCUCAGUGGGUUAAGGAUCUGGCGUUGCCAUGAGCUGUGGUGUAGGUGGAAGAUGUGGCUUGCAUCCUGUGUUGCUGUGGCUGUGGUGUAGGCCUGUAGGUACAGCUCUGAUUUGACCUCUAGCCUGGGAACCUCCAUGUGCCUCGGGUGCAGCCCUAAAAAGCAAAAAAAAAAAAAAAAAAAAAAA